RNAcentral lists this ribosomal RNA (492 nucleotides) under uncultured bacterium. RNAcentral describes it as "partial 16S ribosomal RNA". It matches the Rfam family "Bacterial small subunit ribosomal RNA", at positions 29 to 507 of the family's 1533-position model. The record is from RNAcentral.
AGUGAACGCUGGCGGUAGGCCUAACACAUGCAAGUCGAACGGCAGCACAGUAAGAGCUUGCUCUUACGGGUGGCGAGUGGCGGACGGGUGAGGAAUACAUCGGAAUCUACUUUUUCGUGGGGGAUAACGUAGGGAAACUUACGCUAAUACCGCAUACGACCUACGGGUGAAAGCAGGGGAUCUUCGGACCUUGCGCGAUUGAAUGAGCCGAUGUCGGAUUAGCUAGUUGGCGGGGUAAAGGCCCACCAAGGCGACGAUCCGUAGCUGGUCUGAGAGGAUGAUCAGCCACACUGGAACUGAGACACGGUCCAGACUCCUACGGGAGGCAGCAGUGGGGAAUAUUGGACAAUGGGCGAAAGCCUGAUCCAGCCAUACCGCGUGGGCGAAGAAGGCCUUCGGGUUGUAAAGCCCUUUUGUUGGGAAAGAAAAGCAGCAGGUUAAUACCCCGCUGUUCUGACGGUACCCAAAGAAUAAGCACCGGCUAACUUCGUG